Molecule: long non-coding RNA, 627 nt
Filed under: Cricetulus griseus (Chinese hamster)
Lineage: Eukaryota; Metazoa; Chordata; Mammalia; Rodentia; Cricetidae
Description: lncRNA (ENSCGRG00015033791.1)
Source: RNAcentral
CUUUUUCUGAGAGGAGCAAAUGUCAUCCCACAGCCAAGAUUUAGAAAUUUGCCACACCGGAUCAGAAACAGAUCCAUCUGUGACGAGGUCAAGGUUCUCCUAGGCAAAGGCAUCAGCCUCGGAGUCCCCAUAGCCUGCAGGGUGGCCUCCAGCCUGAGGUCAACACUGCCUGUGGGGCUACCAACCGGUGCUGUCCUGUCCCUAGCUGGUAACUACCCAGAUUUCCAUUUCAGAAGGUGCCCAUGGAGGCCAGAAGAAGACAGUGGAUCCUCUGAACCUGGAGUUAAAGGCCUGAUGAACCUUUGGAGUCUGACCUAGAACUUGCUCUGUAGACCAGGCUGACCUCGAACUCACAGAGAUCCUCCUGCCUCUGCUUCUCCAGUGCUGGGAUUCAAGGUGUCUCCAUCACUGCAUGGUUAAACUCAACUUUCAAAUCAUAAGAAGAGAAUAGUUGUUUGAAAGAGUGGUUGUAGCUCUGGGCAAUCCCCCCCCCCAUUAGUUGUUGCACCAGAUUCCUCUAUAAGAGUUAGAAAUAGAUAUCUACAGAGUCCCAUCUAUAGUGUUUCUAAGACAAAACUGGAAGCAUCCUCUUCCUGAUGUGCUUCAAUGGUACAAUUCCUAGGAGAG